This 329-nucleotide ribosomal RNA is filed under the name Blastocystis sp. subtype 3. RNAcentral describes it as "SSU rRNA". It matches the Rfam family "Eukaryotic small subunit ribosomal RNA", at positions 19 to 369 of the family's 1831-position model. Lineage: Eukaryota; Bigyra; Opalinata; Blastocystidae. The record is from RNAcentral.
AGUAGUCAUAGCUCGUCUCAAAGAUUAAGCCAUGCAUGUGUAAGUAUAAAUAGUUAACUUUGAAACUGCGAAUGGCUCAUUAUAUCAGUUAUAGUUUAUUUGAUGAAGAAUACUAAUUGGAUAACCGUAGUAAUUCUAGAGCUAAUACAUGUAUAAAGUCUUGUAGACUGCAUUUAUUAGAAUGAAAACCAUAGGUUUCGGCCUAUUCGUGAGUAAUAAUAACUAAUCAUAUCGUAUGCUUAUGUAACGAUGUGUCUUUCAAGUUUCUGCCCUAUCAGCUUUCGAUGGUAGUGUAUUGGACUACCAUGGCAGUAACGGGUAACGAAGAA